AUUCUACCAGCAUGACAAUUCGAGCCCUUGGUUCAGCCAUGCGCACACACAGUUUAAACCAAAGAUCUGUUUUAUCAGCCAUACAAAUAGGCAACAGGCCCUGUUUCCAAGGGCUACAAGUUCAUGAAAUGACGAUAUUCAAGAUACAGAUACAUAGUUACGCGACACUUUCAGAGUUGACCGACAUUACAUCAAGGGCUACAGCGUAAGUACUGGCAUUUCGAAGAACAGAGCGGACUACACACUGCCAGGCAAAGAUACCUCAGUAACAGUAUUUGGUGGAGUAAUCCUUGGGCGGCCUUUACGAGCUCCUCUGUAGACAGUUUCUUUCACUGCCCAGUCAAAUCUUGUUGUUUCCUGUCCCAAGAUCAAUCAUGAUGUGCUUGUUGCGGAAGAAGAACAUCACCGUCGACGGGUCAUACAGCUCGUACAUGGUGUUGAAGUCAGGAACCUCCGUGAUGUCGACGAGGUAGAUCACCGCAAAGUUUUUAUGGUCUCAGCCACCCCUGACAGCACCUCAUUCAUCUAAACAUGAACAAGCAGAUAGUCAGAAACUUGUAAUGAAGUCAACAACAUACAACCAUGCUAGAUUGAUGUAGAACCAAAGCCUGCUAAACAAUUAAACUGCAAGUCUGCAAUCUAAGACAUUUUAUUACCCAUCGCUUAACUUCCUCCGACUAUAAUGGCUAGUUCUACUUCAACUCAAUCAAGCAACCAGUUGUAAACUACUACAAAUAUAUAUAUAUAUAUAUAUAUAUAUGUGAAACACAGCAAAGUAUAAAAGUGAGUUGCAACCUAGCUCUCAGUACACAUAGAAGCUUCACUUCAACAAAAAGAGACAUCCAAAAUCAUCCCACUUCUACCCUACUCCAAAUUGACCAACUAACUUCUGAGACUAUGAGCCUAUGAUAAUGGAAAGGCUGAAUGCAAAAUCUCUUGUAAGAUGUGUGGAUAUUACUACAUAUGAGCAUUAAGAGCAUUAGGUCCCAUAUUAAUCCUCUAAGUAGCAGCCCUGCCCAGUACACCAAAACAGCAGCUAAGCUAUUUAUAUUAACGCUAUCAUAACCAGAUCAUUAACAAAGCUAACCAUUUAACAUAAAGAUAAACAGAUCAUGGAAGCACUCCAAUGUGCAAGAAACCAUCCAUGAGUAGCAAUAGCAACCUCAUGUAAUAUAACUACAGAUAUCCAGACUUACUAGAUUGAUUUAGAACCAAAGCCUGAUAAAAUUGAAAGUUCAACCUGCAGUAACAAAAGGACUUCAGAGAUGGAUUAUUUUGCACAACACAAUGAAACAAGUUGCUGAAUGGAAAAAAAAGAGAAGCACAAAUGACUCAAUUUCCACAUGAUUAUGUGGUGAGGUACAUGAUGUCAUGAUGGCUGGUUCUACUUCAACUUAACUAAGGAACCAGCUUGAACUACUACAAAUAUGUUGCAGGCAGAAAAAUGAGAGCAACAAUCUAGGUCAUUAAAAAUUAGAAGCUUUAUUUCAAGAAAAUCGGAGACACAGGGCCUUCCUCCACUUCUGCUACAUAUCCAAACUAACCACAUAUUCUCUCAGGCGCCUGCAGGAUGUGUGGAUGGUACCUGGGGAGCAGCACAAUUGCAAAGCACUAAGAGCAUUUGUUUACAUAUAAUCAAUCAUCCGAGGAGGUAGCAGUGAAGCACUGAGAUUCGUAAAGACCUCUGUUCAGCAAUUCAUACAAAUAGUUCACGCCAAAUAUCACUUUUAGCAGUAAUACCAAUAGACAGCAGGUCCUGUUUUAAAGGGUUACAGGUUUAUGACAUGUUGAUAUUCAAGAUACAAAUACAUAGUUACGACACUUUCAAAGUUGACAGACAUUACAUCAAGGGUCACACAGCGCAUAUCACGGAACAGAGCAGGCCACACACUGCACAUGAAUAGCCAGGCACAGAUACCUCAGUAACGGUAUUUUGUGGAGUAAUCCUUGGGAGCAAUCACCAGACCACGCCCCUUACGAGCUCCUCUGUAGACAGUCUCCACAAUGUCAACAAACUCUUGCUUGUCUUUCAUUGCCCAGUUGAUCUUGUUGUUGUUUCCCGUCCCGAGAUCAAUCAUGAUGUGCUUGUUGCGGAAGAAGAACAUCACCGUUGACGGAUCAUACAGCUCGUACAUGGUGUUGAAGUCAGGAACCUCCGUGAUGUCGACGAGGUAGAUCACCGCAAAGUUCUUUAUGGUCUCAGCCACCCCUGACAGCACCUCGUCCAUCUAAACAUGAACAAGCAGAUAGUCAGAAACUCAUAAUGAAGUCAACAACAUACAACCAUGCUAGAUUGAUGUAGAACCAAAGACUAAUAAUAAAAAGUUAAACUGCAAGUCUGCAAUCAAGAAUAUAAAACAAUUGGCCUUCAAUAAAAGAAGAAAAGCACCCAUCGCUUAACUUCCUCCGAGUAUUAAUGGCUAGCUCUACUUCAACAGUUCAACUCAAUCAAGCAACCAGUU
This 2462-nucleotide long non-coding RNA is filed under the name Triticum aestivum (bread wheat). Its description in RNAcentral is "long non-coding RNA (TAES_LNC019649)". The record is from RNAcentral. Lineage: Eukaryota; Viridiplantae; Streptophyta; Magnoliopsida; Poales; Poaceae.